This 86-nucleotide transfer RNA is filed under the name Cytophagaceae bacterium. RNAcentral's name for it is "tRNA-Leu". It matches the Rfam family "tRNA". Rfam says of the family: Transfer RNA (tRNA) molecules are approximately 80 nucleotides in length. Their secondary structure includes four short double-helical elements and three loops (D, anti-codon, and T loops). Lineage: Bacteria; Pseudomonadati; Bacteroidota; Cytophagia; Cytophagales; Cytophagaceae. The record is from RNAcentral.
GGGGACGUGGCGAAAUUGGUAGCACGCGCAGGUUUCAGAAACCUGUGCCGGAAGGCGUGAGGGUUCGACCCCCUCCGUCCCCACCA